RNAcentral lists this non-coding RNA (97 nucleotides) under Fragilariopsis kerguelensis. Lineage: Eukaryota; Bacillariophyta; Bacillariophyceae; Bacillariales; Bacillariaceae. The record is from RNAcentral.
AUACAAUAGAAUACCAAAUCCAGGAAGAAGAAGAACAUAUUAUGAUAUACUGUCGGAGAAACAAACACCGUGUCGUCCACCCAAAGCAAGAACGAAU